This 253-nucleotide ribosomal RNA is filed under the name uncultured bacterium. Its description in RNAcentral is "partial 16S ribosomal RNA". It matches the Rfam family "Bacterial small subunit ribosomal RNA", at positions 524 to 776 of the family's 1533-position model. The record is from RNAcentral.
CACGUAGGGUGCGAGCGUUGUCCGGAAUUAUUGGGCGUAAAGCGCGUGUAGGCGGCUUUGCAAGUCGGGUGUGAAAUCCCUCAGCUCAACUGAGGAAGUGCGCCCGAAACUGCAGAGCUUGAAUACCGGAGAGGAUGGCGGAAUUCCCCAAGUAGAGGUGAAAUUCGUAGAUAUCGGGAGGAACACCAGUGGCGAAGGCGGCGACCUGGGCCAAUACUGACGCUGAGGUGCGAAAGCGUGGGGAGCAAACAGG